GACGAACGCUGGCGGCGUGCUUAACACAUGCAAGUCGUACGGUAAGGCCCUUUCGGGGGUCCACGAGUGGCGAACGGGUGAGUAACACGUGAGUAACCUGCCCACAACUUUGGGAUAACGCUAGGAAACUGGUGCUAAUACUGGAUAUGUGCUCCUGCUGCAUGGUGGGGGUUGGAAAGCUCCGGCGGUUGUGGAUGGACUCGCGGCCUAUCAGCUUGUUGGUGGGGUAGUGGCCUACCAAGGCGGCGACGGGUAGCCGGCCUGAGAGGGUGACCGGCCACAUUGGGACUGAGAUACGGCCCAGACUCCUACGGGAGGCAGCAGUGGGGAAUAUUGCACAAUGGGCGCAAGCCUGAUGCAGCAACGCCGCGUGCGGGAUGACAGCCUUCGGGUUGUAAACCGCUUUCAGCAGGGACGAAGCUUUUUGUGACGGUACCUGCAGAAGAAGCACCGGCUAACUACGUG
RNAcentral lists this ribosomal RNA (465 nucleotides) under uncultured bacterium. RNAcentral's name for it is "partial 16S ribosomal RNA". It matches the Rfam family "Bacterial small subunit ribosomal RNA", at positions 28 to 507 of the family's 1533-position model. The record is from RNAcentral.